GUAAUAUCUAAGGCACCUGCUACUGCUAGCUGCCACAGAAAGCUUGAACUAAGAGCAUUUCAAAAAUCUGUGCGAUAAUUUUCUGGCUUAUACCACAGUGAGAAAUCAAUUCCCUUGGCUUUCAGUUUCUCAGUUGCAGGUGCAAUCCUCUCCAACAGCUUCAUAUGCAUCACACCAUUAGAUACCAAGAGAGAUCUAUCGAAUGCACAGAAUUUUCCACCAUCCAUUCGAGUAACUGUCCCACCAGCUUCUUCAACCAUCAAAACACCAGCAGCCAUAUCCCAUGGUUUUAGACGGUAUUCCCAAUAUGCUUCUACAAUCCCUAAUGCUACAUGGCACAUGUCAACUGCAGCAGCACCAAGCCUUCUCACACCCCUGCUAACAUCAGUAUAUUCCUUGAAUAAUUCAAUAUUAGUAGUCCAUGCGUCAUCAUGAUCAUAACCGAAGCCAGUCACAAGAAGAGAUUGCUCCACCUUAUCAGUUUGACUCACAUGAAUUUUGUGGCCAUUACAAAAUGCUCCCCCACCAGCAGUUGCAGAAAAUAUACGUGUAUUCCAUGCCAUAGAGCCCCCAACAAACUCUACCACGGCAGCAGCAGCAGGAUUUCCUCGAAACAGAACUCCCACAGAAACAGCAAAGCUAGGAUAACCAUGUGCAAAAUUUGUUGUUCCAUCUAGAGGAUCAAUGCACCAGAGAUAAUCAGAUAAUGUAUCUCCUAUGACACCUCCCUCCUCACCAAGAAUAAGGUGAUCUGCAAAAUUCUUUCUAACGAC
Molecule: unclassified non-coding RNA, 773 nt
Filed under: Hevea brasiliensis (rubber tree)
Lineage: Eukaryota; Viridiplantae; Streptophyta; Magnoliopsida; Malpighiales; Euphorbiaceae
Source: RNAcentral